AGUGAACGCUGGCGGUAGGCCUAACACAUGCAAGUCGAACGGCAGCACAGUAAGAGCUUGCUCUUACGGGUGGCGAGUGGCGGACGGGUGAGGAAUAUAUCGGAAUCUACUUUUUCGUGGGGGAUAACGUAGGGAAACUUACGCUAAUACCGCAUACGACCUACGGGUGAAAGCAGGGGAUCUUCGGACCUUGCGCAAUUGAAUGAGCCGAUGUCGGAUUAGCUAGUUGGCGGGGUAAAGGCCCACCAAGGCGACGAUCCGUAGCUGGUCUGAGAGGAUGAUCAGCCACACUGGAACUGAGACACGGUCCAGACUCCUACGGGAGGCAGCAGUGGGGAAUAUUGGACAAUGGGCGCAAGCCUGAUCCAGCCAUACCGCGUGGGUGAAGAAGGCCUUCGGGUUGUAAAGCCCUUUUGUUGGGAAAGAAAAGCAGCAGGUUAAUACCCCGCUGUUCUGACGGUACCCAAAGAAUAAGCACCGGCUAACUUCGUG
RNAcentral lists this ribosomal RNA (492 nucleotides) under uncultured bacterium. RNAcentral's name for it is "partial 16S ribosomal RNA". It matches the Rfam family "Bacterial small subunit ribosomal RNA", at positions 29 to 507 of the family's 1533-position model. The record is from RNAcentral.